RNAcentral lists this ribosomal RNA (409 nucleotides) under bacterium. RNAcentral's name for it is "partial 16S ribosomal RNA". It matches the Rfam family "Bacterial small subunit ribosomal RNA", at positions 355 to 776 of the family's 1533-position model. The record is from RNAcentral.
UGGGGAAUAUUGCACAAUGGGCGAAAGCCUGAUGCAGCGACGCCGCGUGAGGGAUGACGGCCUUCGGGUUGUAAACCUCUUUCAGUAGGGAAGAAGCGAAAGUGACGGUACCUGCAGAAGAAGCGCCGGCUAACUACGUGCCAGCAGCCGCGGUAAUACGUAGGGCGCAAGCGUUAUCCGGAAUUAUUGGGCGUAAAGAGCUCGUAGGCGGUUUGUCGCGUCUGCCGUGAAAGUCCGGGGCUCAACUCCGGAUCUGCGGUGGGUACGGGCAGACUAGAGUGAUGUAGGGGAGACUGGAAUUCCUGUUGUAGCGGUGAAAUGCGCAGAUAUCAGGAGGAACACCGAUGGCGAAGGCAGGUCUCUGGGCAUUAACUGACGCUGAGGAGCGAAAGCAUGGGGAGCGAACAGG